RNAcentral lists this transfer RNA (77 nucleotides) under Geomicrobium halophilum. RNAcentral describes it as "tRNA-Ile". It matches the Rfam family "tRNA". From Rfam's summary of the family: Transfer RNA (tRNA) molecules are approximately 80 nucleotides in length. Their secondary structure includes four short double-helical elements and three loops (D, anti-codon, and T loops). Further hydrogen bonds mediate the characteristic L-shaped molecular structure. tRNAs have two regions of fundamental functional importance: the anti-codon, which is responsible for specific mRNA codon recognition, and the 3' end, to which the tRNAs corresponding amino acid is attached (by aminoacyl-tRNA synthetases). tRNAs cope with the degeneracy of the genetic code in two manners: having more than one tRNA (with a specific anti-codon) for a particular amino acid; and 'wobble' base-pairing, i.e. permitting non-standard base-pairing at the 3rd anti-codon position. Lineage: Bacteria; Bacillati; Bacillota; Bacilli; Caryophanales. The record is from RNAcentral.
GGGCCUGUAGCUCAGUUGGUCAGAGCGCACGCCUGAUAAGCGUGAGGUCGGUGGUUCGAGUCCGCCCAGGCCCACCA